CCGUUCCCCAGGUCGCCCGCCCAUGUGAGUGACUGCUGCCACUUCCAGGUCUUCUUCCUGCUUCCUCCUCUCAACUGCUCCUCCCCGUCUCCACUCCACUAGUCCCCUGCUACUCCCCUAACCCCCUGAGCAACUGCUCGAGUCCCCUCCCAAUCUAGUCCCCAAAUCCAGAUCUCCUUACUCAGAUCGUUUCUCAAAUCAAGCAGUCGCAAGUGAGUAUAAGUGGAUCUGCAGGCUGUAGCUGCAAAUUCGUGAGGGGUGGCGAUUUAGUCUUCAAGUUGCAAGCUGGGAGCAACGAUUCGAAAAGCUACUGUAACAGGUACGUAUGCCACAUGUGGAUUUAAAAUUUGCCAUUCUAUCUUGACAUGUAAAUUGCAGACCACCUUUAAUUCUUUACUAGUAGUUUAGAUUGCGUUCACUGACACUGCGAAACAAGCGAGCUGGAUCUAAGCUGCUGCUAGCGAAGAAAAAAUCCAGGUUCCACCACCGGAUCCCCGUCAAUAGGUACGACCCCAUCUGCUCCUGCCCUGCUUCCAUCUCUCUCGUAUGCUGCCGGCUGGGCCGG
RNAcentral lists this long non-coding RNA (565 nucleotides) under Triticum aestivum (bread wheat). Its description in RNAcentral is "long non-coding RNA (TAES_LNC002309)". The record is from RNAcentral. Lineage: Eukaryota; Viridiplantae; Streptophyta; Magnoliopsida; Poales; Poaceae.